UACUGCAGUUUUGAUCUUGGCUGUUGAGC
This 29-nucleotide non-coding RNA is filed under the name Rattus norvegicus (Norway rat). Lineage: Eukaryota; Metazoa; Chordata; Mammalia; Rodentia; Muridae. The record is from RNAcentral.